AGGGCGCCGCAACGGAACGAGGAACCCGGACAGUGAAGGAGGAAGAAACAAAGGAGCCAGCAGCACUAGAGAGUUCCCUUCUGGAUCUGAGUUUGACUGUUACAUUCAGCAUCCAAAGAGAGAGGAGGACAUACUGUUUGAAUAAGGAAGAUAAAGAAAUGUACUUUUUUGAAAGCCAUCAAAGAAGGAUGUGUACUUCAUCUCUGUGCCUUCCCUACCAGUCUAGCUGGGUAAGAGAUGAGGGUGCCCUGCCCAUGGAGAGAAGCUGCGUAUGCAUAGUGGUCAAGAUCAUGGUCUCUUCUAUCAGACUGACACGCGGAUUCCACUCCCUGUGACCUUAGGCAAGUUACCUAACCUCUUUGUGCCUGUUUCAUCACCUAUAAAAUAGGAGUAACUGUGUUAUUCCCCAAAUUUCUACAAUGAAGGCCUAACUUCUAUGCAAUGGUAUUUGGAGAUAGGGCCUUUGGGAGACACUUAUGUUUUGAUGAGGUCCUAAUGAUUGGAUUAGUGCCCUUGUAAGAAGAGACACCAGAAAGCUAGCAUGUACCAUGCCCCAGCCCUCACCACCCCUGCCACGUGAGGGCACUUGGAGAAGACAGCUACCUGCAACCUAGGAAAAGAGCCGCCAUCAGAAACUGACCAUGCUGGUAUCUUGACCUUGGACUAUCAGCCGCCAGAACUGUGAAAAAAUAAAUUGCUGUUGUUUAAGCCA
Molecule: long non-coding RNA, 712 nt
Organism: Pan troglodytes (chimpanzee)
Lineage: Eukaryota; Metazoa; Chordata; Mammalia; Primates; Hominidae
Exons: 2
Source: RefSeq, a predicted model, not a curated record